GGGGUUGUGGCUCAGUGGUAGAGUGCUUAUCUAGCAUGUAUGAGGCACUGGGUUCGAUUCUCAGCACCA
RNAcentral lists this transfer RNA (69 nucleotides) under Ictidomys tridecemlineatus (thirteen-lined ground squirrel). Its description in RNAcentral is "Spermophilus tridecemlineatus (thirteen-lined ground squirrel) tRNA". It matches the Rfam family "tRNA". From Rfam's summary of the family: Transfer RNA (tRNA) molecules are approximately 80 nucleotides in length. Their secondary structure includes four short double-helical elements and three loops (D, anti-codon, and T loops). The record is from Rfam by way of RNAcentral. Lineage: Eukaryota; Metazoa; Chordata; Mammalia; Rodentia; Sciuridae.